UCGUACAGUGCCUCGAUCGUUACGGG
RNAcentral lists this small RNA (26 nucleotides) under Bombyx mori (domestic silkworm). RNAcentral's name for it is "ovarian small RNA-29105". Lineage: Eukaryota; Metazoa; Arthropoda; Insecta; Lepidoptera; Bombycidae. The record is from RNAcentral.